GGCAAGCCGUUUGUGACCAUUUUUUUUGCGCGAGCAAGGCAAAAUCAGUCGCUAAACCCCCACACGGGGAAGACCCAAACCCUAAGCACAGAGCUCCCCAUGGCAGCAUCCACGGCGGCGGCGGCCGCGCGGAAGGGCGCGCUGACGGAUCAGAGGUUCUCGGAACUUUCCCUCGCGCUGUCCCCGGAGGUGGUGGAGGCAUUGGACCGCGGCGGCUUCCAGCGGUGCAUGCCCGUGCAGGCGGCGGCCAUCCCGCACCUGCUAUCGCACAAGGACGUCGCCGUCGAUGCCGCCACAGGCUCCAGGAAGACCCUUGCGUUCAUCGUCCUUGUCGUUGAGAUCCUCCGCCGCCGCUCCUCCCCACCCAAGUCACACGAGGUCGCCUCACGGCCCCUGGCCUCUAUACGUCCCUUGCUCUGACCUUCUCAAUUUCUAACAAAAUUCUGCACUCCUUUUCUCAUUUUUCAUCAAUAAAUGAAUCCUGUUGGCUUGGGAGAGACGAGGGUGGCUUUCAAGCUGCAGAAAGACAUGUUUCAUUACAUGGCAUUGGCUGACGACAGGCAGAGAAUUAUGCCAAUGCCCAAUGACCGGUUGCCUCCUCGAGGACAACCAUUAGCGUACCCUGAGGCUGUGCUCCUUGUGGACCCAAUCAACCCUGAACUUAGAGGGGAGGUUGACGACAAGUACCAGUACUCUUGCGAAGACCAGUACAACAAUGUCCAUGGUUGAAUGUCAUUCGAUCCUCCAAUUGGCUUCUGGCUGAUCACUCCAAGUGAUGAGUUCAGGACAGGAGGACCUCUGAAGCAAAACUUGACUUCUCAUGUUGGCCCUACUAUACUGGUUAUGUCUCUUAGUGCACAUUAUGCAGGGGAUGACCUCUCACCAAAGUUCACGAAUGGAGAGUACUGGAAAAAGGUCCAUGGACCGAUAUUCAUGUAUCUUAAUUCCAGUUGGGAUGCAAGUGACCCAACUAUGCUAUGGGAAGAUGCAAAAGUUCAGGUGAUUAUAUUUCUGACACGUAAGUGCUCGAGGAUAGUACAACCAGAGCCAGCGAGUAACUACUGCGGUGCUGCCUAUCUAUAUGCAUGUCAUGAGUAUUACUGAACUGUGGAAGUCACUUUGUUUUCUCUAUUUAUGUUUUGCCUUGUGUAAUCAGAUGAUGAUUGAGAAAGGAAACUGGUCAUACUGUUUUGCACUUUCAGAGGAUUUUCAGAAGACAGAGCAAAGGGGUUGUGUCUCUGGUAGAUUAAUUUGUUGGUCAAACACGAAUUUGGACAGUCAAAACAUGCCCUGCAUUUCUAGACGAAGUAAAAUUUUCCAUUUAAUAUUUUUCUAGAGCAGUAGGGCAUAGUCUUUGUCUCACCAAAGCAAACA
This is a long non-coding RNA of Zea mays, 1374 nucleotides long. RefSeq lists it as uncharacterized. Lineage: Eukaryota; Viridiplantae; Streptophyta; Magnoliopsida; Poales; Poaceae. The transcript has 4 exons. The record is from RefSeq and is a predicted model, not a curated record.